CAGUGCCUGUGGGACGCUGGGAACCCCCCAGCACCCCGCGCCCUGGCCACCCGUGUUUACCUUACCUUUUGUUGCUUUGGCGGGCCCGUCCCAUUUAGGGACCGCCGGGGGAGCGUACCCACGCGCCCCUGGCCCGCGCCCGCCAGGGGACCCCUAGAACUCCUGUGAAGCAGUGCCGUCUGAGUCGAUAUGUAAAUCGAAACA
RNAcentral lists this unclassified non-coding RNA (204 nucleotides) under uncultured Eurotiales. RNAcentral's name for it is "sequence contains ITS1". The record is from RNAcentral. Lineage: Eukaryota; Fungi; Ascomycota; Eurotiomycetes; Eurotiales.